RNAcentral lists this ribosomal RNA (807 nucleotides) under uncultured archaeon. RNAcentral's name for it is "bacterial SSU rRNA". It matches the Rfam family "Archaeal small subunit ribosomal RNA", at positions 85 to 876 of the family's 1478-position model. The record is from RNAcentral.
ACUGCUCAGUAACACGUGGCUAACCUACCCUCAGGACGAGGAUAACCCCGGGAAACUGGGGCUAAUAUUCGAUAGGUGAGGAUGCCUGGAAUGGUUUCUCACUCAAAGGGCUUUAGAUACAUGCUUCUAACGUCGCCUGGGGAUGGGGCCGCGACCGAUCAGGUUGUUGGUGAGGUAAUGGCUCACCAAGCCUAUAACCGGUACGGGCCAUGAGAGUGGUAGCCCGGAGAUGGGUACUGAGACAAGGACCCAGGCCCUACGGGGCGCAGCAGUCGCGAAAACUCCGCAAUGCACGCAAGUGUGACGGGGCUACCCCGAGUGCCAUCCGCUGAGGUUGGCUUUUCUUUGGUAUAACUAGCCAGGGGAAUAAGGAGAGGGCAAGACUGGUGUCAGCCGCCGCGGUAAUACCAGCUCUCCGAGUGGUAGGGAUGAUUAUUGGGCUUAAAGCGUCCGUAGCCUGCUUAGCAAGUCUCCUGUUAAAUUCAGCGACCUAAUCGUUGAGCCGCGGGAGAUACUACUAGGCUAGGAGGCGGGAGAGGUCGACGGUACUUCUGGGGUAGGGGUGAAAUCCUAUAAUCCCAGGAGGACCACCAGUGGCGAAGGCUGUCGACUAGAACGCGCUCGACGGUGAGGGACGAAAGCUGGGGGAGCGAACCGGAUUAGAUACCCGGGUAGUCCCAGCCGUAAACGAUGCGGGCUAGGUGUUGGGGCGGCUACGGGCCACUUCAGUGCCGCAGGGAAGCCAUUAAGCCCGCCGCCUGGGGAGUACGGCCGCAAGGCUGAAACUUAAAGGAAUUGGCGGGGGAG